Tympanuchus pallidicinctus (lesser prairie-chicken) is the source of this 2519-nucleotide long non-coding RNA. RefSeq lists it as uncharacterized. NCBI's taxonomy places the organism in Eukaryota, Metazoa, Chordata, Aves, Galliformes, Phasianidae. The record is from RefSeq and is a predicted model, not a curated record. The transcript is spliced from 4 exons.
GAGAGGAGGGAGGUUACCCCAUCCUGAAAAAGGCACAUCAUGCUGUUGUGUGUGAACAGAGCUGCUCUGACUUGCUGGUGGACACAGUCACUGUCACAAGCUCCUUAGUGGCUGUUUCUUUUUUAGAGCUUCCUGAGCAACGGGGAUGAUGAAAAAUGUUCUUUAUGGUCUUUGGGUUACGAGCACCUAAGGAGGCUCUGGUAUCUCAGUUGUUAGACCUCUUUUGCAUUCUCAGUAAUUGAGUCUGAAAUCUUAGGGCUGCUAACAUGCCCGUGCCAGCACUGAGCUGCCCCAGUGGGAUUGCUGUGCAGAUGGAAGCCUUCUCUCCUUGUACAGCAAACCAUGCUCAGGUCUGCUGGCUACUUGUCCUACUCCCUUCCUGCUACAGGGUGUUCUGCUGUACUGAGAGCAGGCUGCUCCUCAGGCAGGUGUCUGAGUGGUUGUAUUUGAGCUGGGAAAGAGCAGAAGCUGUCCUGGGACCUUUAACAUCUGGAAAUAACUGGAGAUAUGGGGAGGCUGCUUCAAAUUCCCAUCAACCUAUCAGAAGAAAACUGCUGAAUUGGUGCCCUUUCUUUUAUGGAAACCAUGAACGUGUUUUGUCCUUACAGAUGUUUAGGAAGUCAAUGCUCUUGUGAUCCCAUGUUGCUUUCCUUGCUGAGCUUUUAUCUCACCUUUGUCUUAUGUAAGGAGUAUAGCUGAAUUCUGAUUUCCCAUUAAUGGAACUCUUGUGCUCUUGCCCUCCUCCUCACUUUGAUCGUGAUAUCUUUGAAUAUUUGUUUCUAAAGUGUCUGAGUGGAAUCAGGAGUGGAUGGAAGAGAAGAUAUCCGAACCAGAAAGUUAAGCACAGGUCUUUCUCAACAGCUUAUCUGCCUGUUCACAACAUGCAUCUGUCAGUUCUCACACAGUUCUAGGUGGGAUUUCCAUGUAGGAGAUCUGCUGAAGGUCUGAGUGUUUCACCUGCUGCCUAUGCUGGCUCCAAGCUAUUGCAAGGAGAGGCUGGGGGGCAUGGGAGUACCGUCAGAUAGCACUGGUGAGUGAUACCUGGUGGUGGCUGUGCAGCCAGACACCCAGCAUCAGAGCUGCCAUGCUCAUCAGGCUGUGCGUGCCCAACCUGGGCUCUUCAUGUUUCCAAACAGCCCAGAGGUGUGCACAACCACCUUUGUUGUAAGGGUUUUUGAUAGCAGAUGAUGUGCUGAGAAGCAGGCUGGCCCUUUUCCCAGAGCUGGAAGUGGCUGAAGCUGGGGUGUGGUGGGCAGCAGGGCAGGAGGAAGGCGAUUCUGUUCUUUAGAGACUCAGAAAUAUAACCAAGCCUGGGGCUGAACAGGGUGUGCGCUUUCCUACCCAGAUCUCUAAUCAGAAACAAAUCCUGCAAUUGCAUCAGCUGGAAACUCUGAAGCUUCCUGCUGUCCACUGAAGGGUAAAAGAAGGCUCAGUUCCUGGCCCUGCUCUGCUGACACUCUCUUGGUUUUCCUCUCCUCCUUAGCCACCGGAGGGCAGGCAGGAUUCCUGUAAUUACCAACUACUGCGGAAGAAAAGCACCGGAAUAAUUAAAAAGCAAUUAAUGUUUGCACUGCUGGAUCUGCUGUGGCAUUGCUCUUUCCAGUUGCAUGCUCUGCCUCUGGUCCCCUCGCCACCUACUUCACUUUGUAGAUUUUCCUUUAUCAGUUGCUUUUCAUUUUCAUUCGAGCUAGCUGUGAGAGCUGCAGUUCAACUUCAGAUUAAGUUACUGCUGAGACGUGCUUUGCUUGGGGGGAUUAUGGAGUUGGCUGUGAUGUGUUGGCUGCCAGGUAAGGCAAGAGAAGGCAAAGCCUUUUAGCAGGCUGCGAUCAGACAGAAGCCUCUGUGUCCCAGGGCUGGAAAUACUGCUGCGGGGUCAAACACUCCUAGGCUCAGCACUACACUGGUGUAACCAUUACAGCUUCAUUAUGGAACUGGUCGAUCCUUGGUGAACUGGAGCUUCUGGAUCAGCACUGUAGAGCUGUCAACACUGGUGAAAAUUCAAGCAGCAAGUGGAGAAGAGCAAAGACUGUUGCCAGUGGUGCAUUUCAGUCUGAUGCAGGAAGCUCCCUGGCUGUGGCUGUUGGGCAUGUUGAGGAGAUGCAUCACUGAAGGAUUAAAAUACAACUGCUGUGAGCUGGGAAGCAAAGCAGGCCAGGACUAGAAGCUGCCAUGGAAGGAGAGGCACAUGAUGAAGUCUGAGGAGCUGCUUGCUGAUGGGACCCGCUGCCACCAUCCUGCACCCUGCUCUGGGCACACAGAGACCCCCAGCACUGCCCGAGUCCACCAGGAAACAGCCCGGAAACCUCAGUUUAUUUUCCCCCCCCCUUGUUGUUUUUCCCUCUCAGAAUUAUAUCUGACACCAGAGUCCAUCAGACAAAGUCCUUACAAACACAGGAGUCCUGAAGACAUCGGCUGAAUGUUUUCCUGGUAUAAAGAAGAAGAGGAGGAGAAAGAGGUGGUGACGGUGCGGGUGCAGAGAGUUUGGACUGGGACGGAGGGCGUGGUGGAAGGAGAGAGGU